Molecule: ribosomal RNA, 253 nt
Filed under: uncultured bacterium
Lineage: Bacteria
Description: partial 16S ribosomal RNA
Rfam family: Bacterial small subunit ribosomal RNA
Source: RNAcentral
GACAGAGGGUGCAACCGUUGUUCGGAAUUACUGGGCGUAAAGAGUGUGUAGGCGGUGCUCUAAGUUCGGUGUGAAAUCUCCCGGCUUAACUGGGAGGGUGCGCCGGAAACUGGAGUGCUUGAGCGCGGGAGAGGAAAGCGGAAUUCCUGGUGUAGCGGUGAAAUGCGUAGAUAUCAGGAGGAACACCUGUGGUGUAGACGGCUUUCUGGACCGUAGCUGACGCUGAGACACGAAAGCGUGGGUAGCAAACAGG